UAAGGAAUAUUGGUCAAUGGGCGCAAGCCUGAACCAGCCAUGCCGCGUGCAGGAAGACGGCCCUAUGGGUUGUAAACUGCUUUUGUCAGGGAAUAAACCCCCGCUCGUGAGCGGGGCUGAAGGUACCUGAAGAAUAAGCAUCGGCUAACUCCGUGCCAGCAGCCGCGGUAAUACGGAGGAUGCAAGCGUUAUCCGGAUUCAUUGGGUUUAAAGGGUGCGCAGGCGGAUUGGUAAGUCAGGGGUGAAAUCCCACAGCUCAACUGUGGAACUGCCUUUGAUACUGUCAGUCUAGAGUAUAGUUGAAGUGGGCGGAAUGUGUCAUGUAGCGGUGAAAUGCUUAGAUAUGACACAGAACACCGAUCGCGAAGGCAGCUCGCUAAGCUAUAACUGACGCUCAUGCACGAAAGCGUGGGG
This 414-nucleotide ribosomal RNA is filed under the name uncultured bacterium. RNAcentral's name for it is "bacterial SSU rRNA". It matches the Rfam family "Bacterial small subunit ribosomal RNA", at positions 355 to 766 of the family's 1533-position model. The record is from RNAcentral.